GACGUAGGGCGCGAGCGUUUGUCCGGAAUUAUUGGGCGUAAAGGGCUCGUAGGCGGUCUGUCGCGUCGGUAGUGAAAACUCAGGGCUUAACCCUGAGCCUGCUUCCGAUACGGGCAGACUAGAGGUAUGCAGGGGGAGAACGGAAUUCCUGGUGUAGCGGUGAAAUGCGCAGAUAUCAGGAGGAACACCGGUGGCGAAGGCGGGUCUCUGGGACGGUACUGACGCUGAGACGCGAAAGCGUGGGGAGCGAACAGG
RNAcentral lists this ribosomal RNA (255 nucleotides) under uncultured bacterium. Its description in RNAcentral is "partial 16S ribosomal RNA". It matches the Rfam family "Bacterial small subunit ribosomal RNA", at positions 524 to 776 of the family's 1533-position model. The record is from RNAcentral.